UACGAAGGGGGCUAGCGUUGCUCGGAAUCACUGGGCGUAAAGGGUGCGUAGGCGGGUUCUUAAGUCAGAGGUGAAAUCCUGGAGCUCAACUCCAGAACUGCCUUUGAUACUGAGAGUCUUGAGUACGGGAGAGGUGAGUGGAACUGCGAGUGUAGAGGUGAAAUUCGUAGAUAUUCGCAAGAACACCAGUGGCGAAGGCGGCUCACUGGCCCGGUACUGACGCUGAGGUACGAAAGCGUGGGGAGCAAACAGG
RNAcentral lists this ribosomal RNA (253 nucleotides) under uncultured bacterium. Its description in RNAcentral is "partial 16S ribosomal RNA". It matches the Rfam family "Bacterial small subunit ribosomal RNA", at positions 524 to 776 of the family's 1533-position model. The record is from RNAcentral.